GUGGGGAAUAUUGGACAAUGGGGGGAACCCUGAUCCAGCCAUGCCGCGUGUGUGAAGAAGGCCUUUUGGUUGUAAAGCACUUUAAGCGAGGAGGAGGCUACCGAGAUUAAUACUCUUGGAUAGUGGACGUUACUCGCAGAAUAAGCACCGGCUAACUCUGUGCCAGCAGCCGCGGUAAUACAGAGGGUGCAAGCGUUAAUCGGAUUUACUGGGCGUAAAGCGCGCGUAGGGGGCCAAUUAAGUCAAAUGUGAAAUCCCCGAGCUUAACUUGGGAAGUGCAUUCGAUACUGGUUGGCUAGAGUAUGGGAGAGGAUGGUAGAAUUCCAGGUGUAGCGGUGAAAUGCGUAGAGAUCUGGAGGAAUACCGAUGGCGAAGGGAGCCAUCUGGCCUAAUACUGACACUGAGGUGCGAAAGCAUGGGGAGCAAACAGGAUUAGAUACCCGUGUAGUCC
This 451-nucleotide ribosomal RNA is filed under the name uncultured bacterium. Its description in RNAcentral is "partial 16S ribosomal RNA". It matches the Rfam family "Bacterial small subunit ribosomal RNA", at positions 354 to 796 of the family's 1533-position model. The record is from RNAcentral.